Long non-coding RNA from Aethalodelphis obliquidens (Pacific white-sided dolphin), 3496 nucleotides. RefSeq lists it as uncharacterized. The record is from RefSeq and is a predicted model, not a curated record. NCBI's taxonomy places the organism in Eukaryota, Metazoa, Chordata, Mammalia, Artiodactyla, Delphinidae. The transcript is spliced from 2 exons.
AACCUCAUUAAAACGCGCUUGUGCCUAAAUUGUCUAAUAACAAUUAUUAGACAAUAAAUGUCUAAUCAGGAUUGUGGGUUAGAGUCCCACUCUAAGGGAGACAGUAUGAAAGGUUCAAUCCGUUGUCUGGGAACUAAGAUCCCACAAGCCGCACAGCGCGGCCAAAAAAAAAGUUAUAACCACCGAGGUACCCAAAAGAUCCGGUUAGAAUCCCAGGCCUUUGGAUUUCUCGGUCUAUGUCUGACUGUUUUGUUUGUUAGGAAUUGGCUAAUAGGGUUAACUAUUGGAUGACCACAGAAAAACUUUAUUGAAUCUGUUUUAUGUCAUUUUGCUGUGGUCAUCCUGAGAAAAAAAUACUUCCAAGAUGGGGAAUGAUAACAGCGUACCAGACGGCACUCCCUUGAAAAGUGUUCUUUGAGGUUGGUCAAUGUUUACCUCUAAUGAUGAAAGAGGUAUGAAAAAAAAGAAAAUGAUUUUCUUUUGUAACACUGCCUGGCCCAAAUAUCUACUGGAGUCAGGGGAAAAAUGGCCCCCAAAUGGGUCUUUGAACUAUAAUACUAUUAUACAGUUAGACUCGUUUUGUAAGAGAGAGAAAAAAUGGGACGAAAUCCCGUAUGUAGACUCAUUUAUGUCUUUAUAUAAGAGGAGAAAUAUGCAUAAGGCAUUUAUUGAUAAAAUGAUGGGUCAGAGGGAAGAACCUCACAAAAAGCCUGUUUUACCCGAGUCAAAGUCUAAUGACGAUCUAGUCCCUCCGUCUGCACCUUUUGCAGUAGCCGGACUGUGGGCACUUCCUACGGUAGCCCCUCCCUCAGCACCUCUUGUGGUUCCCGCGAAUCCUGAAGGGGAUCUUCCUGCAGGCAGUGCCAAGACUUUUACCAGUCCUCCUAGGGCUGCUGGUCCGGCUCUGUACUCGCCCUUAGCAGAUGGUCAACAAGGAAUGGUCUACCCUCCCUGUACCCUCCAGGGUAUUCAGUUUGGCCCAGGGAACACUCGACUGUAGGCGGGACAAUUUCCGUUAAGGCAGGUCCCAGCAGGCUUGGAUGACCAAGGCCAAUCCAGAGCACUUGGAAUCAUGUAUCAUCGUUUAUCAGUCAUAGAUUUCCUUAAUUAUAAAGCUAAAAUGCCAUCUUAUCAAGAUGAUCCUAGGAAUAUGGAGAAUCUCUUUACAUAUAUUUUUGCUGUUUUUCAUCCUAACUGGGCUGACAUACAGACCCUCAUGUGUAUCCUACUCAGUCCAGAGGAACGCAGCAUGAUUUAGAGAAGGCCUUCCAGGAAGCCAAAAGGCUUCAUGAAUUAAAACCAAAUAAUCCAAUCAGAACUCCAGCAAAGCAGGCCAUCCCUGGAACUGAACCAGAAUGGGAUCCCAGUGACCCAGGGGAUCAAGCAAGGCUGAAUCAUUAUAAAGAUUGUUUAAUAACUGGACUGCAGAAAGGGGCAAACAGCUUCAAGAGGGUCCGGAAUGUACAGCCAGGGCCUGAGGAGGGCCCAUUCACCUUCCUUGAAAGGCUUUAUGAGGCUUUCCGAAGAUACACUGAUGUUGAUCCGGAACACCCAGAUGACGUGGGACUGGUCAAUUUAAACUUUAUCGGUCAGAGUGCCCCAGAUAUAAGAAAAAAACUAGAACGACUGGAAGGGGGAUCAUGGACACCAACGUCUCAGUUGGUCCAGAUUGCUUUUGAAGUGUUCAAAGGCUGAUACGAAAUUUGGGAAAAGCAGGAGCAAUGCAUCGAGCAUUGCAUCGUGAGGCAGGUUGCUCUGCUCAGCUGUAACCAGUCAAAACCCAGCAGGACGUCUGCAGGAGAGAACAGACGACCACGGGUAAGACCCUGGGGACCUCCAAAACCCAGCCGGAAAGGGCAUCCAUCUGUUGGGCCACAACAGUGUACCUUUUGUAAACAGGAAGGGCACUGGAAAAGGGAGUGUCCCCAAAACAGACAGGGCCCCCUCUCCCCCAAGAUAACAUCCAUUACUGGUGUAUCUGGGGAAGUCUCUCAGAAACCUUUUCUACAAUGGCUUGAAUGUCAUGUAGAGAAAACACAUGUAAAGUACAGCUUUGUGUAUGUGCCUGGAUGUCAUAGUCCCUCAUCAGGGCAAGAGGUACUAACAAAUUUAAAUGACCAAGUGGGUUUCUCAGCAGAAAAAGUAGACACCAAAGUACUCCCAGGUCAAGACUGCGCCCUCCAAGCUGCGCCAUUACAAUUGGGAGACAAGCCUCAACCAGAUGUCCCUGAAGAAAUUCUUAAAAAGACAUUCCUGUGCACUGCAUAAGCCCAGGGAAUUGGGUCCUCCUCAAACUUGGAAAAAUGACUGCCCUGAGGAUCAACUGCAACCCAAGUGGAUUGGAGCCUAUGAAGUCCUUCUGGUUACACAUUCUUCAGUAGAGCUGAAAGGAGUUAAACCUUGGAUACACCCCUCCAGAGUAAAAAUAGUACCCAUUUCUAACCAGCACCCCCCUUGUCCCCUUUACAGUUCCCAAACAGGGCACGCGCUCCAUGGACAGGAGGAAGUAGGAGGACCCAACCUUCCUAACACUAGAGGGGCCUGGAAACCCACUACUGAUUUCUCGGCCCCUAAUUACACUUGUAAACCCUUAACUGAACUUAAGUUACUUUUCAAAUAGAAACAGGACAGCUAAGUCUCCACCUGGUCAGGAAGAGAAGACGAGGACAUCUUGAAAGUAGACAGCUCCACCUAGAAGUCUGGACCAGGCUGAUAUAAAUCCAAAUUCAGUCACUAAGAAUGUUAAAAAUAACAUGUUUUCACUGGUUCCCAAAGAAUAAGGUCUGUUUUUGGAGGACUGUUAAAAUUAGGAAUCAUAGUUCUGUGUAUCAUGGGGUUAAUCUUUUUACUCACCAAAUUUUUUACUUAUUGUCUAUCUCAUAUAUUUAAAAAGGCCUCCCCCACUCACAUGUUGAUUGCCCAAGACUUAAGCGUUCAAAGUGGGACUCGUGAAUAUUUACAAUCAAGUGCAAAAACAAUUUCAUUCCUCUUAUAAAAAUCUAUGCCCCUUCUCAGCAGGAAGCAGCUAGAGCGGUCGUCGCCCUAUUUCCCUUAAGAUUGAGGAAUGUACAAAGUAAAAGGGGGGCACUAAAACAGCACAUAAAAUAUUGACCUGCUUAUCCUGGUUUUGUCUCAAAUAGGUUGUUGACUAAUCAAAUCUUGAGUUAUUCUACAGAGACAGCACUCCCAUGUGCAAGACAGGAACCCAUGUCUCCAGGAUGACACCAGAACCAAGAAUCUUCAGUCUGCAGAACUCAAACAAUAGACAUGUUGCUACUGGAGCCCUUUACCAAGCAAGAAGUUCUUCAGUAAGAAAAAUCCAGCUUCCAGCUGCCCAAAUAGCUUGAUUCCAAUCAGCUUCUGACUGUCAACACUAGUCAAUAAGCUUGUGAAAUUCUUCUAACUUACAUUUUGCCCUGAACACUGGACAGGGAGACAGAUUUGAGCCCUGCCUCCUGUCGGUUGACUCACAAUAAAAUGCUUUCUUUUCUUAAAA